AUAUCAUUAGCUUAAUGGUAAAGCAAGGUAGUAUUAAUACUUAGAUGCAAGUUCAAUUCUUGACUGAUACU
Triticum urartu is the source of this 71-nucleotide non-coding RNA. Lineage: Eukaryota; Viridiplantae; Streptophyta; Magnoliopsida; Poales; Poaceae. The record is from Rfam.